Molecule: ribosomal RNA, 492 nt
Filed under: uncultured bacterium
Lineage: Bacteria
Description: partial 16S ribosomal RNA
Rfam family: Bacterial small subunit ribosomal RNA
Source: RNAcentral
AGUGAACGCUGGCGGUAGGCCUAACACAUGCAAGUCGAACGGCAGCACAGUAAGAGCUUGCUCUUACGGGUGGCGAGUGGCGGACGGGUGAGGAAUACAUCGGAAUCUACUUUUUCGUGGGGGAUAACGUAGGGAAACUUACGCUAAUACCGCAUACGACAUACGGGUGAAAGCAGGGGAUCUUCGGACCUUGCGCGAUUGAAUGAGCCGAUGUCGGAUUAGCUAGUUGGCGGGGUAAAGGCCCACCAAGGCGACGAUCCGUAGCUGGUCUGAGAGGAUGAUCAGCCACACUGGAACUGAGACACGGCCCAGACUCCUACGGGAGGCAGCAGUGGGGAAUAUUGGACAAUGGGCGCAAGCCUGAUCCAGCCAUACCGCGUGGGUGAAGAAGGCCUUCGGGUUGUAAAGCCCUUUUGUUGGGAAAGAAAAGCAGCAGGUUAAUACCCCGCUGUUCUGACGGUACCCAAAGAAUAAGCACCGGCUAACUUCGUG